This 786-nucleotide ribosomal RNA is filed under the name uncultured bacterium. RNAcentral describes it as "bacterial SSU rRNA". It matches the Rfam family "Bacterial small subunit ribosomal RNA", at positions 8 to 796 of the family's 1533-position model. The record is from RNAcentral.
AGAGUUUGAUCCUGGCUCAGAGCGAACGCUGGCGGCGUGCUUAACACAUGCAAGUCGAGUGCGCGCCUGUAGCAAUACAGGUGGCGCACGGCGCACGGGUGCGUAACACGUGGGUAAUCUGCCCUUCGAUGGGGAAUAACUCGCCGAAAGGCGAGCUAAUUCCGCAUAACAUUCCGAGAACUUCGGUUUUUGGAUUCAAAGGCGUAAGUCGUCGGAGGAGGAGCCCGCGCACGAUUAGCUAGUUGGUGAGGUAAUGGCUCACCAAGGCUAUGAUCGUUAGCUGGUCUGAGAGGAUGGCCAGCCACACUGGAACUGAGACACGGUCCAGACUCCUACGGGAGGCAGCAGUGGGGAAUCUUGCACAAUGGGCGAAAGCCUGAUGCAGCGACGCCGCGUGGGGGAUGAAGCUUCUCGGAGUGUAAACCCCUUUCGACCCGGACGAAUGCCCCGCAAGGGGACUGACGGUACGGGUAUAAGAAGCCCCGGCUAACUACGUGCCAGCAGCCGCGGUAAGACGUAGGGGGCCAGCGUUGCUCGGAAUUACUGGGUGUAAAGGGUUCGUAGGCGGUGUGGCAAGUCGGGAGUGAAAUCUCUGGGCUCAACCCAGAGUCUGCUUCCGAAACUGCUGUGCUUGAGUGUGGGAGAGGCGCGUGGAAUUGCAGGUGUAGCGGUGAAAUGCGUAGAUAUCUGCAGGAACACCCGUGGCGAAAGCGGCGCGCUGGACCACUACUGACGCUGAGGAACGAAAGCUAGGGGAGCAAACAGGAUUAGAUACCCUAGUAGUCC